GUAGAGAUGGCUCAGUGGUUAAGAGUACCGACUGCUCUUCCAGAGGUCCUAAGUUCAAUUCCUGGCAACCACA
Molecule: transfer RNA, 73 nt
Filed under: Mus musculus (house mouse)
Lineage: Eukaryota; Metazoa; Chordata; Mammalia; Rodentia; Muridae
Description: tRNA-Ser
Source: RNAcentral